RNAcentral lists this ribosomal RNA (584 nucleotides) under uncultured bacterium. Its description in RNAcentral is "bacterial SSU rRNA". It matches the Rfam family "Bacterial small subunit ribosomal RNA", at positions 339 to 916 of the family's 1533-position model. The record is from RNAcentral.
CUACGGGAGGCAGCAGUGGGGAAUUUUGCGCAAUGGGCGAAAGCUGACGCAGCGACGCCGCGUGAGUGAUGAAGGCCUUCGGGUCGUAAAGCUCUUUCGGCUGGGACGAAAUACCCAUGGCUAAUAUCCAUGGAAUUGACGGUACCGGCAGAAGAAGCACCGGCUAACUCUGUGCCAGCAGCCGCGGUAAUACAGAGGGUGCAAGCGUUGUUCGGAAUUAUUGGGCGUAAAGCGCGUGUAGGCGGCCGGGCGUGUCAGGUGUGAAAUCCGUCGGCUCAACCGACGGAGUGCGCCUGAAACUACCUGGCUUGAAUGCCGGAGAGGAUGGCGGAAUUCCCGGUGUAGAGGUGAAAUUCGUAGAUAUCGGGAGGAACACCAGCGGCGAAGGCGGCCAUCUGGACGGACAUUGACGCUGAGACGCGAAAGCGUGGGGAGCAAACAGGAUUAAAUACCCUGGUAGUCCACGCUGUAAACGAUGAGAACUAGGUGUUGUGGGUGUUGACCCCCGCAGUGCCGAAGCUAACGCAUUAAGUUCUCCGCCUGGGGAGUACGGUCGCAAGACUAAAACUCAAAGGAAUUGACGG